Molecule: small nuclear RNA, 106 nt
Organism: Ochotona princeps (American pika)
Lineage: Eukaryota; Metazoa; Chordata; Mammalia; Lagomorpha; Ochotonidae
Source: Ensembl
GUGCUCGCUUUGGCAGCACAUACACUAAAAUUAAACAAUACAGAGAAGAUUAGCAUGGCCCCUGCGCAAGGAUGACGCGCAAAUUCGUGACGCAUUCCAUAUUUUA